This 289-nucleotide ribosomal RNA is filed under the name Actinomycetes bacterium. RNAcentral's name for it is "Actinobacteria bacterium partial 16S ribosomal RNA". It matches the Rfam family "Bacterial small subunit ribosomal RNA", at positions 223 to 520 of the family's 1533-position model. Lineage: Bacteria; Bacillati; Actinomycetota; Actinomycetes. The record is from RNAcentral.
GGAUGAGCUUGCGGCCUAUCAGCUUGUUGGUGGGGUAAUGGCCUACCAAGGCGUCGACGGGUAGCCGGCCUGAGAGGGUGUACGGCCACAUUGGGACUGAGAUACGGCCCAGACUCCUACGGGAGGCAGCAGUGGGGAAUAUUGCACAAUGGGCGCAAGCCUGAUGCAGCGACGCCGCGUGGGGGAUGACGGCCUUCGGGUUGUAAACUCCUUUCGCCCACGACGAAGCCCUUCGGGGUGACGGUAGUGGGAUAAGAAGCACCGGCUAACUACGUGCCAGCAGCCGCGG